CANNCGAGCGGAAGGCCCUUCGGGGUACUCGAGCGGCGAACGGGUGAGUAACACGUGAGUAAUCUGCCCCAGGCUCUGGGAUAGCCACCGGAAACGGUGAUUAAUACCGGAUACGACAACCGAUUGCAUGAUCUGGUUGUGGAAAGUUUUUCGGCCUGGGAUGUGCUCGCGGCCUAUCAGCUUGUUGGUGAGGUAAUGGCUCACCAAGGCUUCGACGGGUAGCCGGCCUGAGAGGGUGACCGGCCACACUGGGACUGAGACACGGCCCAGACUCCUACGGGAGGCAGCAGUGGGGAAUAUUGGACAAUGGGCGGAAGCCUGAUCCAGCAACGCCGCGUGAGGGAUGACGGCCUUCGGGUUGUAAACCUCUUUCAGCACAGACGAAGCGAAAGUGACGGUAUGUGCAGAAGAAGGACCGGCCAACUACGUGCCAGCAGCCGCGGUAAUACGUAGGGUCCGAGCGUUGUCCGGAAUUAUUGGGCGUAAAGGGCUCGUAGGCGGUUUGUCACGUCGGGAGUGAAAACCAGGUGCUUAACACCUGGCCUGCUUCCGAUACGGGCAGACUAGAGGUACUCAGGGGAGAAUGGAAUUCCUGGUGUAGCGNNA
This 606-nucleotide ribosomal RNA is filed under the name bacterium AK-7. RNAcentral's name for it is "bacterial SSU rRNA". It matches the Rfam family "Bacterial small subunit ribosomal RNA", at positions 59 to 683 of the family's 1533-position model. The record is from RNAcentral.